This 978-nucleotide ribosomal RNA is filed under the name Triticum aestivum (bread wheat). RNAcentral describes it as "partial small subunit ribosomal RNA". The record is from RNAcentral. Lineage: Eukaryota; Viridiplantae; Streptophyta; Magnoliopsida; Poales; Poaceae.
AUGGAGUGGACGGCCCCGAAGUCCACCCCGCUCUCCCCGCCCCACCUCCUCUGGGACUGGGGCGACGCCGCCGCGCCGGGCUCCUCCGGCGAGGCGGCGGGGAGGCGCGGGAAGGAGAAGCGGGCCAGGGGGGAGGGGGCCGGCGGAGGAGGCGGAGGAGGAGGGGGCGUGAGGUGCCAGGUGGAGGGCUGCGGGGUCGAGCUCCGCGACGCGAAGGAGUACCACCGGAAGCACCGGGUCUGCGAGGCCCACACCAAGUUCCCCCGCGUCGUCGUCGCCGGCCAGGAGCGCCGCUUCUGCCAGCAGUGCAGCCGGUUCCAUGCGCUGUCGGAGUUCGACCAGAAGAAGAGGAGCUGCCGGAGGCGACUGUCCGACCACAAUGCUCGGCGCAGGAAGCCACAGCCGGACGCAUUCUCCUUUGCACCGGCAAGGCUCCCGUCGUCAUUGAUGUUUGAUGAUAGACGGCAAAUAAGUUUUGUCUGGAAUAAAGAUCCAAGCCAUGCAAGGCCUUUCCCAUGUUCUCCAUGGGACAGCCCAUCUGACUUCAAGCUCCCGCAAGUGAAGGAAAUAAGAGAGGUAUCAAUCAAUGGACAAGUUCAUUUUGAUAAAUCUCAUCUACCUAAUGCUGUUCCAGCACUGAGUCAUGACAUAGCUGAGCUGCUACCAAUGAAAGGUCCGGACGCAUCUGUAACCGCUUCGAAAUUAGGUGGAGCACCGGAUCUUCAGCAUGCUCUCUCUCUUCUGUCAGCUAGUUCUUGUGGAUUACCUGAUCCUGUACAGCAAGCAUCUUGUCUCGUCCAAUUCACUGGUGCCAGCCAAAACAGCCGGGGCCCUUCACCACAUGGAGGGAGCCCUCCGUCGGCGUCCUGUGCCGAAGGACAGCCCAUGGUGCCAUCGCCUCAGUUCGUCCGUUUCACCAUGGAUGGCGCCAGCAGUGGUUAUGAAUCUACUUUCUUCGGCGUAAACCGGAUGAAUUGA